UUGAACGCUGGCGGCAUGCCUUACACCUGCAAGUCGCACGGCAGCGCGGACUUCGGUCUGGCGGCGAGUGGCGAACGGGUGAGUAAUACAUCGGAACGUACCCUGUUGUGGGGGAUAACUAGUCGAAAGAUUAGCUAAUACCGCAUACGACCUGAGGGUGAAAGUGGGGGACCGCAAGGCCUCACGCAGCAGGAGCGGCCGAUGUCUGAUUAGCUAGUUGGUGGGGUAAAGGCCCACCAAGGCGACGAUCAGUAGCUGGUCUGAGAGGACGAUCAGCCACACUGGGACUGAGACACGGCCCAGACUCCUACGGGAGGCAGCAGUGGGGAAUUUUGGACAAUGGGGGCAACCCUGAUCCAGCAAUGCCGCGUGUGUGAAGAAGGCCUUCGGGUUGUAAAGCACUUUUGUCCGGAAAGAAAUCGCGCUGGUUAAUACCUGGCGUGGAUGACGGUACCGGAAGAAUAAGCACCGGCUAACUACGUG
RNAcentral lists this ribosomal RNA (483 nucleotides) under uncultured bacterium. Its description in RNAcentral is "partial 16S ribosomal RNA". It matches the Rfam family "Bacterial small subunit ribosomal RNA", at positions 30 to 507 of the family's 1533-position model. The record is from RNAcentral.